RNAcentral lists this ribosomal RNA (459 nucleotides) under uncultured bacterium. RNAcentral's name for it is "partial 16S ribosomal RNA". It matches the Rfam family "Bacterial small subunit ribosomal RNA", at positions 338 to 795 of the family's 1533-position model. The record is from RNAcentral.
CCUACGGGGGACAGCAGUGAGGAAUAUUGGGCAAUGGGCGGGAGCCUGAACCAGCCAAGCCGCGUGAAGGAAGAAGGCGCCAGGCGUCGUAAACUUCUUUUGUCAGGGAACAAAGGCGGGGACUAGUCCCCGGAUGAGGGUACCUGAUGAAAAAGCAUCGGCAAACUCCGUGCCAGCAGCCGCGGUAAUACGGGGGAUGCGAGCGUUAUCCGGAUUGAUUGGGGUAAAGGGGUGCGCAGGGGGCCUGUUAAGUCAGUGGUAAAAGCCCGGGGCUCAACCCGGGAGAGCCGUUGAAACUGGAGGGCUGGAGUUGGAGAGAAGUACGCGGAAUGCGUGGUGUAGCGGUGAAAUGCUUAGAUAUCGCGAAGAACCCCGAUUGCGAAGGCAGCGUACCGGCUCCAAACUGACGCUGAGGCACGAAAGCGUGGGUAUCGAACAGGAUUAGAUACCCGAGUAGUC